UUAGCAAGACUACUUGCCCAGAUACGGCAAAGGACUAAUGACCGCAUUGUCCUUGUCUCAAACUACACACAGACUCUGGAUCUUUUUGCUCAGUUGUGUCGGGAACGAAGGUACCCGCACUUGAGGCUUGAUGGUGCAACAUCAAUCAGUAAAAGGCAGAAGUUAGUAAACCGCUUUAAUGAUCAAUCUAAGGACGAGUUCGUUUUUCUCU
Long non-coding RNA from Neltuma alba, 211 nucleotides. RefSeq lists it as uncharacterized. The transcript has 3 exons. The record is from RefSeq and is a predicted model, not a curated record. NCBI's taxonomy places the organism in Eukaryota, Viridiplantae, Streptophyta, Magnoliopsida, Fabales, Fabaceae.